AAAAAGACAAACCCUAGGUUUCUGUGUCCAACGUUUGAUUGUCCGUCUUAUAUGAAUUUUUUUUUAUAAUUACUAUUUUCAUUGUUGUUAGAUGAUAAAACAUGAUUAAUACUUUAUGCGUGACUUGUCUUUUUAAUUNUUUUAUAAUUACUAUUUUCAUUGUUGUUAGAUGAUAAAACAUGAUUAAUACUUUAUGCGUGACUUGUCUUUUUAAUUUUUUCAAAUAAGACGGACGGUUAAACGUUGGAUACGAAAACCCAGGGUUUGUCUUUUU
This is a microRNA precursor of Oryza rufipogon (brownbeard rice), 274 nucleotides long. It matches the Rfam family "MIR812 microRNA precursor family". NCBI's taxonomy places the organism in Eukaryota, Viridiplantae, Streptophyta, Magnoliopsida, Poales, Poaceae. The record is from Rfam.